Molecule: non-coding RNA, 250 nt
Filed under: Priestia koreensis
Lineage: Bacteria; Bacillati; Bacillota; Bacilli; Caryophanales; Bacillaceae
Description: Bacillus koreensis T-box sequence
Rfam family: T-box leader
About the family: Uncharged tRNA acts as the effector for transcription antitermination of genes in the T-box leader family. T-boxes are found upstream of many aminoacyl-tRNA synthetase genes and some amino acid biosynthetic genes usually in Gram-positive bacteria.
Source: RNAcentral
GUGAGCGCAAUGAUAAGGAAGAGUAGAAAAGGAACCUAAACGCACAGAAAUUCGUUCCACGGCUGAAAGAACGAUCGUGAGCCCUUUUUGAAUGUCACCUUUGAGCUUUACUGAUGAAAUGGAUAAAAAGCCAGAUUAGUGAGUAACGGUUAGUCUCGUUAAUAGACUGAAGUCGAGUAGACUUCUAGAGCCUGUUUUCUGUAAGGAAAGCAGGGAAGUUGAGUGGUAUCGCGAUUAUAUCGCCUCAGCA